GACGAACGCUGGCGGCGUGCUUAACACAUGCAAGUCGAUAGGUGAAGCUCCAGCUUGCUGGAGUGGAUCAGUGGCGAACGGGUGAGUAACACGUGAGCAACCUGCCCCUGACUCUGGAAUAAGCGCUGGAAACGGCGUCUAAUACUGGAUACGAGAAGGGUCCGCAUGGGCACUUUCUGGAAAGUUUUUCGGUUGGGGAUGGGCUCGCGGCCUAUCAGCUUGUUGGUGAGGUAAUGGCUCACCAAGGCGACGACGGGUAGCCGGCCUGAGAGGGCGACCGGCCACACUGGGACUGAGACACGGCCUAGACUCCUACGGGAGGCAGCAGUGGGGAAUAUUGCACAAUGGGCGAAAGCCUGAUGCAGCGACGCCGCGUGAGGGAUGACGGCCUUCGGGUUGUAAACCUCUUUCAGCAGGGAAGAAGCGAAAGUGACGGUACCUGCAGAAGAAGCACCGGCUAACUACGUG
RNAcentral lists this ribosomal RNA (468 nucleotides) under uncultured bacterium. RNAcentral describes it as "partial 16S ribosomal RNA". It matches the Rfam family "Bacterial small subunit ribosomal RNA", at positions 28 to 507 of the family's 1533-position model. The record is from RNAcentral.